UAGGGAAUCUUCCACAAUGGACGCAAGUCUGAUGGAGCAACGCCGCGUGAGUGAAGAAGGUUUUCGGACCGUAAAGCUCUGUUGUUGGUGAAGAAGGGUAGAGGUAGUAACUGGCCUUUAUUUGACGGUAAUCAACCAGAAAGUCACGGCUAACUACGUGCCAGCAGCCGCGGUAAUACGUAGGUGGCAAGCGUUGUCCGGAUUUAUUGGGCGUAAAGCGAGCGCAGGCGGAAGAAUAAGUCUGAUGUGAAAGCCCUCGGCUUAACCGAGGAAUUGCAUCGGAAACUGUUUUCUUGAGUGCAGAAGAGGAGAGUAGAACUCCAUGUGUAGCGGUGGAAUGCGUAGAUAUAUGGAAGAAUACCAGUGGCGAAGGCGGCUCUCUGGUCUGCAACUGACGCUGAGGCUCGAAAGCAUGGGUAGCGAACAGGAUUAGAUACCCUGGUAGUCCAUGCCGUAAACGAUGAGUGCUAAG
RNAcentral lists this ribosomal RNA (472 nucleotides) under uncultured bacterium. RNAcentral describes it as "partial 16S ribosomal RNA". It matches the Rfam family "Bacterial small subunit ribosomal RNA", at positions 355 to 820 of the family's 1533-position model. The record is from RNAcentral.